GAGCCUCGUUCGCUUUCAUUGUGUGGAAAAGAGAUGCAAAAGUGAAUGUCCAACAUUCUGCCUAACAUUUGCUUUUGUUCCACAGACAGAGGAAAGAAAAUCACAGGUUUGGGAUGUCUGAUUUUUCGUUUCCUCUGAAAUUACCUGUUGGAGGAUAAACUGGGUAAUUAACAAUAUGAUUUGGUAGCCAUCAUUAGUAUUUAAUUUAUUAACAUCAAUUACAGAACACGAAGAAUCAUUUAACAACUUACAGAAAGUUAAAGACGUUAUUUCUGUCUCAACUUUGAAGACAUGGCGAGUAAGCGCUGCUUAUUACUGCGUCCGUAUUUCUGUGUUGAGAGAUGAGCGGAAGGACAAAUAGUUCCUAACCUGUACAACUGUUUGUUCAUAUGAUUCAUGUUUUCACUUUCGCGCUCUUGAUACACAUUCAUUUUCGGGGAAAAAAUGAAUAAAUAAAGGAAGAACGCACUAGUUAAAACACUUAGUGUCGAUAUUAUUGAUGUGAGAAGGACCAAUCAUCGCGAUAAACUCAAAAGGCUAGCCUACUAUAGAUAUUUUGAGAUCGAUCCGCCCAUCGUUAGUGAGAGCGAGACGCUCGCUUUUUGUGACGGGAGGAGCGUCUCUCAUUCAAGCGCCUCAUCUCACUCUCUGUGAGUCCGCCAGCAGAACUGACCGAAGAGAUUUCUUCGCGGAGUACACUUGCAAACUUUCAGCUGCUUUGCUUUUAAGUUACGCUUUUUUUCUGUGAAGGAGAUGUGAACGUAUUUGGACUCCAAAGAACACCGACGUCUUGUGAUUCAGUGCUUUUUAUUCGAAACUGAAGAAAAGAUUUCGGGGAGAAUUAACGAUGUUUUUCACUGAUGACAUGAGCUGGUCAUGGUCGCUGGGGGGUGUGAGGAGAUACACACAGUCUUAAGGGAAGAAGACUGCUUGCUAUCUCGACAAAAGCUUCACCUCAGAAACAUGAGGGAUUGUCUCUUGUGGAAAUUCGCCAAAGUGAUUCUGUUCUGGACAUUAGCUGAUGCUCAGGCAGGUGAAGAUGAGAUUACAGCUGAAGAACAGGUGCAGAUGCUGCUGGAUGCGAAGCUGCAGUGUCUACAGAAGAUCUCCACAGACGAUCCUGCAGGUAGAUACCGUUUCCACUAGGGAUGUAACGAUUCACUCAACUCACGAUUCGAUUCACGAUUUU
RNAcentral lists this long non-coding RNA (1189 nucleotides) under Sinocyclocheilus grahami. RNAcentral describes it as "lncRNA (ENSSGRG00000044049.1)". The record is from RNAcentral. Lineage: Eukaryota; Metazoa; Chordata; Actinopteri; Cypriniformes; Cyprinidae.